GACCUAAUACAUGCAAGUCGAGACGGAAAGGCCUCUUCGGAGGUACUCGAGCGGCGGACGGCUGAGUAACGCGUAGGAACGUACCCCAAAGUGAGGGAUAACUGCUCGAAAGAGUAGCUAAUACCGCAUGUGGUCUAAGGAUUAAAGCUUCGGCGCUUUGGGAACGGCCUGCGUAAGAUUAGCUUGUUGGUGAGGUAACGGCUCACCAAGGCGACGAUCUUUAGCUGGUCUGAGAGGAUGAUCAGCCAGACUGGGACUGAGAACGGCCCAGACUCCUACGGGAGGCAGCAGUAGGGAAUUUUCCACAAUGGGCGAAAGCCUGAUGGAGCAACGCCGCGUGCAGGAUGAAUGCCUUCGGGUUGUAAACUGCUUUUAUAUGUGACGAUUAUGACGGUAGCAUAUGAAUAAGGAUCGGCUAAUUCCGUG
RNAcentral lists this ribosomal RNA (426 nucleotides) under uncultured bacterium. RNAcentral describes it as "bacterial SSU rRNA". It matches the Rfam family "Bacterial small subunit ribosomal RNA", at positions 46 to 507 of the family's 1533-position model. The record is from RNAcentral.